Molecule: long non-coding RNA, 3393 nt
Filed under: Homo sapiens (human)
Lineage: Eukaryota; Metazoa; Chordata; Mammalia; Primates; Hominidae
Description: HSALNT0067966
Source: RNAcentral
AGCUAAGUGGCUAUACUAAUAACAUACAAAAGGGACUUAAAGACAUUUUUUUUUCACUAAAGACAAAGAAGGACAUGUCAUAAUGAUAAAAGGGUCUGUUCAUCAGAAAGAAAUAGAAAUACAGAUGCACUUAACAGAGCUUCAAAAUUUAUGAAACAAAAGCUGACAAAACUGAAGGAUUCAAUACCUCACAUUCAAUAUCAAUAUAACUGGGCAGAAGAUCAAUAAGGGAAGAGAAGACAUAAACAAUCAGACUACAAACCAAUCAGACCUAACAGGCUUCUAUACAACACUACAAACCAAUCAGACCCAACAGGCUUCUAUACAACACUACAAACCAACCUCUGACCCAACAGGCAUCUAUACAACACACACACCAACCUCUGACCCAACAGGCAUCUAUACAACACUACAAACCAACCUCUGACCCAACAGGCAUCUAUACAACACUAGAAACCAAUCAGACCCAACAGGCAUCUAUACAACACUACAAACCAACCUCUGACCCAACAGGCUUCUAUGCAACACUACAAACCAAUGAGACCCAACACACAUCUAUACAACUCUACAAACCAAUCAGACCCAACAGGCAUCUAUACAACACUACAAACCAAUCAGACCCAACAGGCAUCUAUACAACACUACAAACCAACCUCUGACCCAACAGGCAUCUAUACAACACUACAAACCAAUCAGACCCAACAGGCAUCUAUACAACACUACAAACCAACCUCUGACCCAACAGGUGUCUAUACAACACUACAAACCAAUCAGACCCAACAGGCAUCUAUACAACACUCCACCCAACAAGAGCAGGAUAGAUAUUCUUCAACACUCUGGGACAGAAAAUACGGUAUGCCAAUAAAAUAACUCUCAAUACAUAUAAAAGACGAGAAAUCAUACAAUCUAUGUUUUUUAGCCAUAAUGGAGUGAAAUAAGAAAUCAGUAACAGGCCAGGUAUGGUAGCUCAUGCUUGUAAUCCCAGCACUUUGGGAGGCAAAAGUGGCAGGAUCACUUGAGCCCAGGAGUUCCAACACAGCCUGGGCAACAUAGUCGGACCCUGUCUCUACAACAAAAUUUUUAAAAAUUUAGCCAGGCUUGGUGGCUCAUGCCUGUAGUCUCAGCUACUCAGGAGGCUGAGGUGGGAGGUCAAGGCUGCAGUGAGCUGCGAUCACUGCACUGCACUCCAGCCUGGGAGAUAAAGUGAGAUCUUGUCUCUCAAAAAUAAGAAAAGAAGUCAAUAACAGAAGGAAACCUGGGAAAUUCACAUAUAUGUGGAAAUUAAACAACAAACUCUUAAAUAACCAAGAGAUAAAAGAAGAAAUCACCAGAAAAAUCAGAAUAUACUUUUAGAUUUAAAAAAGGGAAAACACAAUAUAGCAGAACUUAAGGGAUGAAGUAAAUCAGUGCUGAGAUAAAAAUUUAUAGCUACAAAUGUCUAUAUGAAAAAGAUUUCAAAUCAGUAAGCUAAUUUUCCAUCUUAAGAAACAAGAAAAAGAAGAGAAAAUAAAACCCAAAGCAACCCAAAGGAAAUAAUAAAGAUUACAGUGGAAAUUAACAAAAUAAAGAAUGGAAAAUCAUAGGGGAUAAUAAACAAAACCAGAAGUUGUUUCUUUAAAUAGAUCAACAAAAUUGAUAAAUCUUUAGCUAGACUAAGGGGAGUAAAAGAGAGAAGAAUCAAAUUACUAAAACCAGAAAAUACUAUGAAUAGGCUGGGAGCAUUGGCUAACAUCCACAAUCCCAGCACUUUGAGAGGUCAAGGUGGGAGGGUCACUUGAGGCCAGGAGUUUGACAAAGAUCAGCCUGGACAACACAGCAAGAUCCUGUCUCCACAAAAAAAUUUUAAAGAAAAUUAGGGCUGGGUGUGGUGGCUCAUGCCUGUAAUCCCAGCACUUUGCUAGGCUAAGACAGGAAAAUUUCUUGAGGCCAGGAGUUUGAGACCAGCCUAGCCAACAUAGUGAGACCCCAUCUCUACCAAAAAUAAGCUUUUAAAAAAUUAGCCAGUCAUACUGCCAUGCCCCUGUAGUCUUAGCUACUCAGGAAGCUGAGAUGGGAAGAUUGCUUGAGUCUGGGAGGUCAAAGCUGUAGUGAGCCAUGAUUGUGCUACUGUACUCCAGCCUGGGUGACAGAGCAAGACUCUGUCUCAAACAAAACAAAACCAAAGACAGAAAAUUAGCUGAAUGUGGUGGUGCAUGCCUGUGGUCCUUCCUACUGGGGAGGCUGAGGUGGGAGGAUCACUUGGGCCCAUGAGUCUGAGGUUGGAGUGAGCUAUGAUUGCACCACUGCACUCCAGCCUGGGCAACAGAGUGAGACCUUGUCAGUUAAAAAAAUUUUUUUUAAUGCUAUGAACCAUUAUAUAUGAACAGAUUGCAACAAAGAACCUAGAAAGGGACAAACUCCUGGAAAGAUGCAAACUACUGGAACUAAACAGAUCUAUAAUAAAUGAAGAUACUGAAUUAGGGAAAAAAAUCCCACAAAGAAAAGCCCAGCCUUCACUGGUAAAUUCCACCAAAUGUUUAAAUAAUUAACAACAAUCUUUCACAAACUCUUCCAAAAAAUAGGAGGGGAGGGAACACUUCCCACCUCAAUCUAUGAGGUCAGUAGUGACGUGACUAAAGCUAAAGACAUCACAAAAAGACUACAGCCCAAUAUCCCUCAUGAAUACAGAUGCAAAAUCCUAGCAAACCAAAGCCAGCAGCAUAGAAAAAGGAUUAUACACCAUGAACAAGUAGAAUUUGCCCCAUGAAUGCAAGGUCGGUUCAAUAUAUGAGAAACAAUGUAAUAUACUGUAUCACUAUAAUAAAGGACAAGAAUCAUACUAUCAUCUCGACAGAUGGAGAAAAAGCAUCUGACAAAAUUCAAUACUUUAUGACAAAAACACUCAACAAACUAGGAGGAGAAGGUAACUUUUUCAACCUGAUAGAAGCAUCUACACAAAACUGCAUUGUUAGCAUCACAUUCAAUGGUGAGAGACCGAAAGCUUCCCGCUAAGAUCAAGAGUAAGACGAGGAUGUCUGUUCUCACCACAUCUAUUCAACAUUGUCCUGGAGGUACUAGCCAGAGCAAUUAGGUAAGAGAAAUAAAAGAAAUCCAGAUUAGAAAGAAAGCUGUUUGCAGAUGACAUGAUUUUGUGUAUGGAAAAUCUUAGGGAACAUACAACUAAUUAGAAUGAAUAAACAAGUUCAGCAAGGAAUGCUGGAUACAAGAUCAAUACACAAAAGUCAGUUGUACUUCCACAUAUUAGCAAUGAUCAGCCCCAAAGUGAAAUUUGGAAAACAAUUACAUUUGUGAUUGCUUUUGUAAAUGCAAUUUAUAAUCUUUUAAUAAUUUAUAAUUGCAUUUAUAGUCCUUUUGGUUAUAAAUCAAAAAUAAUAAAAUAUGAGUAAAUUUAAC